Molecule: long non-coding RNA, 267 nt
Filed under: Setaria viridis
Lineage: Eukaryota; Viridiplantae; Streptophyta; Magnoliopsida; Poales; Poaceae
Description: long non-coding RNA (SVIR_LNC001776)
Source: RNAcentral
CUUAAAAGAGCAGACGCGAAAGACCCGGGCCCACCUAGCCUAAUCAAAGCUCCGCCUCGCCCGACCACGGUCCCAGGGUCGGGAGCGCCCUCCCUCCCUCCACGAGGCUUCCGCCUUGUCCGACUGCGGCCCCAGGGUCGGGGGCGCCCGACCCCUCGCCCCAAGGUUCCGCCUCGUCCGACCCCGAGCCCAGGGGUCGGACUCACUGGGGCCCCCGGGGCGGACAUCCCCCUCGGAUACGAAUCAGGCGGAAUGGAUGAACAGUCC